UACGUAGGGUGCGAGCGUUAAUCGGAAUUACUGGGCGUAAAGCGUGCGCAGGCGGUUCGUUAUGUCCGUUGUGAAAGCCCCGGGCUCAACCUGGGAAUGGCAAUGGAAACUGGCGGGCUAGAGUGUGGCAGAGGGGGGUGGAAUUCCGCGUGUAGCAGUGAAAUGCGUAGAGAUGCGGAGGAACACCGAUGGCGAAGGCAGCCCCCUGGGCUAGCACUGACGCUCAGGCACGAAAGCGUGGGAAGCAAACAGG
RNAcentral lists this ribosomal RNA (253 nucleotides) under uncultured bacterium. Its description in RNAcentral is "partial 16S ribosomal RNA". It matches the Rfam family "Bacterial small subunit ribosomal RNA", at positions 524 to 776 of the family's 1533-position model. The record is from RNAcentral.